UUCAACGCCUUUAGAACAAUGGCAGUCACAUAGUAGGUACUCAAUGUUUGGAGUACGAAUAAUGUACUCUUAUUAUUCAAAGACCAGCUAGAAAGUUACCUUCUUUGAGGGGUCUUCCUGAUAGUUACAGUGACAAGGAGACUUAAUCGCCCCCAAACACUUACCACUUUACACUGCUUGGUUGUCUCCACUACACAACUAAUUCCCCGAGGGGAAGGAUCUUGAAUAACUGAUCUUUGUUGCAGGCGGCUAGUACAGUACCCAGAUCAUAGAGGGAACUCAGAAUCUGAUGCUGGCACUUGUAAUCAGAAAGUCUGGGCUGAGAUCCCAGUAUCUUCACUGACUGGCUUUGUGAUCUCAGGCUGGUCACUUAGCAUUUCGAACGCCGGGCUACCUACCCCGCCCACCCCAUGAGCGAACAGUGUUGCUGCCCCAAAGCGCCGAAUAGAUCGCAGAACGUAGUGGGAAAGUAAGGGACCAUUAUGAUCUGUACCCCACCCCGACGCACGCCAAGCGGCCUUUUCCCCAUUUGUGGCCAAAUUUCCCGGCAUGGGGAAGGAGUCUUAGGGGAAGCACCCGGGACCUCCUUGGCUUCUUCUGGGAGUCUAGUUUCACCUAUUUCGUUUCGCCAACAGGCGAGACGGGCAAGACUUCGGGCUCAGCUGCCACCAUCAGAACUGACCUGUCCAUGGCUAAAGCCUUUUCCACACACAACCAACGUUGGCUGCAGUUUAGCUACCGCGUUUUAGCCUUCCCGCUCUCCGGAAGCAAGCCCUUCGACCCGGAAGCAGUCUGUCCCUAAAACAGACCCACAGAAAAGGGGUUCAGGUUCUCCAUGCGAUAUAUGGUUCCACAAUCCUCAGCGUGUUAACUGAAGCCUUGUUGAGUUUAACAAAGCUGCCAUUGAAGAUCUGGGGAAAGUGAAGAAGUUGCAACAGAGUUUUGGGCUCACACCAUUGAUACAUUUGAUCCUUAAGGCCCACCCCGCCUCACUCCCACCCUCUUCUACUUAAUUCAGGAUGUGAAUAGCACAUGCCUUCCAUCUUCAGACAAACACUGAGGCCUGGACAAUGACCUGCAUUAGGUAGAUAGAAUCUACUGAAAGCUAAAAGCCUUUUCCUGUGUCUUAGCAGCACGGAAGCCACGCCUCCUUCCCCCCAGUGUUUGUGCAAGCCCUAGAGAAGAGGAGACAGCCCCUGUGAUGUGUGAGGUUGAAUUUCCUGCCCUCAACCCAUCAAAUCAGGCAGAAUGAGGGCUCAGUCAGAACUACAACUACAAAAGAGAAAAAUUUUAAUGUGACUUUUCUUGUCUGCUCAGAUUUUUGGGUUAAGGUUCAUGCCAGCUACAUUCUUUGCAUAAUAAAAUAUAAAUAGAGUAUAAAUUGUUCUAUUUAGAGAAAACAGCAAAACAAUGCUCUCCCAAGGGCCCUAAUAAAUCACUCUCCAGAAA
RNAcentral lists this long non-coding RNA (1449 nucleotides) under Pan troglodytes (chimpanzee). Its description in RNAcentral is "lincRNA". The record is from RNAcentral. Lineage: Eukaryota; Metazoa; Chordata; Mammalia; Primates; Hominidae.